AUGGAAUUAGCGAUGAUUAUAAAAAUAAUUUUUCGUUUUGACUUGCUUAAUUUGGAUAUGACAAACCUCUUACUACAAUUAUAGAAUCUGAGCUCC
RNAcentral lists this small nucleolar RNA (96 nucleotides) under Theobroma cacao (cacao). Its description in RNAcentral is "Small nucleolar RNA snoR8a". It matches the Rfam family "Small nucleolar RNA snoR8a". The record is from Rfam by way of RNAcentral. Lineage: Eukaryota; Viridiplantae; Streptophyta; Magnoliopsida; Malvales; Malvaceae.